GUACUAAUGAAGAGUCCCAAAAUAGAACGGAGGAAACAAUUGUCCAGUAC
This 50-nucleotide non-coding RNA is filed under the name Trichobilharzia regenti. Lineage: Eukaryota; Metazoa; Platyhelminthes; Trematoda; Strigeidida; Schistosomatidae. The record is from RNAcentral.